CCAAUGAUUGGGAACCAGUUGAGGUUGAUAGAUCUCCUGGUUGCUAAAAUCAAAUACCCAUCUUUGUGCACCUUUUUUAUGUCUCUGGUGGUCGCAAGAGAAGUCUCUUAUUUGGAGGAUCUCUUCUAGUUCAUUUUGAUCCUCGGACAAAUGAAUGAAGCCACCAAAUGGUUGCUAUAACACACCUUUUUUGCCGUCCAAAAUAUCUGUCUAACAUUGAUUUGUGUAAAAUACAUAAAAA
RNAcentral lists this unclassified non-coding RNA (241 nucleotides) under soil metagenome. RNAcentral's name for it is "partial internal transcribed spacer 1". The record is from RNAcentral.